AACGGGGGGAGGCCCCUGCUCCGCAACUGCCGCGUGAAUGAUGAAGGCCUUAGGGUUGUAAAGUUCUUUCCCUGUGAAGAUAAUGACGGUAGCAGGAGAAGAAGCCCCGGCUAACUCCGUGCCAGCAGCCGCGGUAAGACGGAGGGGGCUAGCGUUGUUCGGAAUGACUGGGCGUAAAGGGCGCGUAGGCGGUUUUUUAAGUGAGGCGUGAAAGCCCUGGGCUUAACCCAGGAGGUGCGUUUCAUACUGGAAGACUUGAGUACGAGAGAGGAAAGCGGAAUUCCUAGUGUAGAGGUGAAAUUCGUAGAUAUUAGGGAGAGCACCGGUGGCGAAGGCGGCUUUCUGGCUCGUAACUGACGCUGAGGCGCGAAA
RNAcentral lists this ribosomal RNA (372 nucleotides) under uncultured bacterium. RNAcentral describes it as "bacterial SSU rRNA". It matches the Rfam family "Bacterial small subunit ribosomal RNA", at positions 369 to 758 of the family's 1533-position model. The record is from RNAcentral.